AGCUAUUUAACUAAUUAAGUUAAUAUCUUGAAAAUAUUAUAUAGAAACUAAAUCCUUCUAAUAGCUU
Molecule: transfer RNA, 67 nt
Filed under: Prionopetalum kraepelini
Lineage: Eukaryota; Metazoa; Arthropoda; Diplopoda; Spirostreptida; Odontopygidae
Description: tRNA-Ser
Source: RNAcentral